Silurus meridionalis is the source of this 541-nucleotide long non-coding RNA. RefSeq lists it as uncharacterized. The transcript has 3 exons. Lineage: Eukaryota; Metazoa; Chordata; Actinopteri; Siluriformes; Siluridae. The record is from RefSeq and is a predicted model, not a curated record.
AUCUGCAGCAACUGCAUGAUGCUUUCAUGUCAAUAUGGACUAAAAUCAGUUCUGAAAUCAAAAUGGGGUCCAACCCAGUACUAGUAAGGUGUACCUAAUAAAGUGGACGAAACGGUCAUCACUUACUACACUGGAGCACCUGACCUGACCUGGAUAAGCUGACAUCUCUGUCAUGGUAGCCUGAAGCAGAACCCCUUGCUGAAAACUUCACAAAUGCAAGAGACAGAGAAAGCAACCGUGCUUUGAGAGACCAGCGGGACCAUGAUCGGAGGGCAGUACAGCCGGAAGUGUAAGUCAUGUAACCUAUAGCUAGGGCUGCACAAUUAAUAAUAUUAUAUUCCAAUCACUGUUUUUGCCUCGGUUUAAUUAAGGGAAUACUCCACCCUGAAAUGAAAAAAAUAUCUUAUAAAUUACUUAUCGCCAUCCUAUACAGUGGCUGAGAGAGCUGCAACUUAAGAAAACGCAUGCAAAUAGAAAAAAAACACCAGCAAAUAAAAAACAACGUUAUCAGUUUGAUAACAUAUGUGCUGCAAACCCCCAC